RNAcentral lists this ribosomal RNA (253 nucleotides) under uncultured bacterium. Its description in RNAcentral is "partial 16S ribosomal RNA". It matches the Rfam family "Bacterial small subunit ribosomal RNA", at positions 524 to 776 of the family's 1533-position model. The record is from RNAcentral.
UACGAAGGGUGCAAGCGUUACUCGGAAUUACUGGGCGUAAAGCGUGCGUAGGUGGUUCGUUAAGUCUGAUGUGAAAGCCCUGGGCUCAACCUGGGAAUUGCAUUGGAUACUGGCGAGCUAGAGUGCGGUAGAGGAUGGCGGAAUUCCCGGUGUAGCAGUGAAAUGCGUAGAGAUCGGGAGGAACAUCUGUGGCGAAGGCGGCCAUCUGGGCCAGCACUGACACUGAGGCACGAAAGCGUGGGGAGCAAACAGG